UACGAGGGGGGCGAGCGUUAUUCGGAAUUACUGGGCGUAAAGGGCGCGUAGGCGGUUUGCUAAGUUGGAUGUGAAAACUCUGGGCUUAACCCAGAGCCUGCAUCCAAAACUGGCAAACUUGAGUACUGGAGGGGAAAGCGGAAUUCCUGGUGUAGCGGUGAAAUGCGUAGAUAUCAGGAGGAACACCGGUGGCGAAGGCGGCUUUCUGGACAGUAACUGACGCUGAGGCGCGAAAGCUAGGGGAGCAAACAGG
Molecule: ribosomal RNA, 253 nt
Filed under: uncultured bacterium
Lineage: Bacteria
Description: partial 16S ribosomal RNA
Rfam family: Bacterial small subunit ribosomal RNA
Source: RNAcentral